This 666-nucleotide ribosomal RNA is filed under the name uncultured Delftia sp. Its description in RNAcentral is "bacterial SSU rRNA". It matches the Rfam family "Bacterial small subunit ribosomal RNA", at positions 56 to 719 of the family's 1533-position model. The record is from RNAcentral. Lineage: Bacteria; Pseudomonadati; Pseudomonadota; Betaproteobacteria; Burkholderiales; Comamonadaceae.
UGCAAGUCGAACGGUAACAGGUCUUCGGACGCUGACGAGUGGCGAACGGGUGAGUAAUACAUCGGAACGUGCCCAGUCGUGGGGGAUAACUACUCGAAAGAGUAGCUAAUACCGCAUACGAUCUGAGGAUGAAAGCGGGGGACCUUCGGGCCUCGCGCGAUUGGAGCGGCCGAUGGCAGAUUAGGUAGUUGGUGGGAUAAAAGCUUACCAAGCCGACGAUCUGUAGCUGGUCUGAGAGGACGACCAGCCACACUGGGACUGAGACACGGCCCAGACUCCUACGGGAGGCAGCAGUGGGGAAUUUUGGACAAUGGGCGAAAGCCUGAUCCAGCAAUGCCGCGUGCAGGAUGAAGGCCUUCGGGUUGUAAACUGCUUUUGUACGGAACGAAAAAGCUUCUCCUAAUACGAGAGGCCCAUGACGGUACCGUAAGAAUAAGCACCGGCUAACUACGUGCCAGCAGCCGCGGUAAUACGUAGGGUGCGAGCGUUAAUCGGAAUUACUGGGCGUAAAGCGUGCGCAGGCGGUUAUGUAAGACAGAUGUGAAAUCCCCGGGCUCAACCUGGGAACUGCAUUUGUGACUGCAUGGCUAGAGUACGGUAGAGGGGGAUGGAAUUCCGCGUGUAGCAGUGAAAUGCGUAGAUAUGCGGAGGAACACCGAUGGCGAA